This 319-nucleotide ribosomal RNA is filed under the name Hymenoscyphus haasticus. Its description in RNAcentral is "partial 18S ribosomal RNA". The stretch from base 25 to 276 matches the Rfam family "Group I catalytic intron". Rfam says of the family: Group I catalytic introns are large self-splicing ribozymes. They catalyse their own excision from mRNA, tRNA and rRNA precursors in a wide range of organisms. The record is from RNAcentral. Lineage: Eukaryota; Fungi; Ascomycota; Leotiomycetes; Helotiales; Helotiaceae.
AGCCUUUGUCAGCCCUAACGGGUGUCCUCGACUCUAAAGAAUGGACUGCAAGUCACUUCAAGUGGCAACAUGAUCGAAUUGCGGGGAUCUCUUAAAGCCUGCUGGUACCUCCCUAGAUGGAAACGUCUAGGCACGGUCAUAACCCAGGGGAUGCCACAAUAGAUGAUCCGCAGCGAAGCCCCUACCGCCUUGGCCACGGGGACCGCUCACAGACUAAGUGAUUGUGGGUAGCGCACGCUACUUGAGAUAUAGUCGGCCGGCCUAGGAAACUAGACCUUCUCCCAAGCGUUCCGUAGGUGAACCUGCGGAAGGAUCAUUA